This 2718-nucleotide ribosomal RNA is filed under the name Triticum aestivum (bread wheat). RNAcentral's name for it is "partial small subunit ribosomal RNA". Lineage: Eukaryota; Viridiplantae; Streptophyta; Magnoliopsida; Poales; Poaceae. The record is from RNAcentral.
AUGACCGGCGGAAUCGUGACCGUGGCGACCGGGGUGAUGAACCCCCUCAUCAGCAAGCUCACCGCACUCAUGGGCGACGAGUACAACAAGUUCAAAGGGGUCAGGAAGCAGGCCUCAUUCCUCGAGAAGGAACUCAGCGCCAUGAACGCAGCCCUUCAGAAGCUCGAGCUCAUUGAUGAGAUUGAUCCAACCGUCAAGGAUUGGAGGGACCAUGUUAGGGAGAUGUCGUAUGACAUGGAGAAUUGUAUCGAUGACUUCAUGCGCCAGUCCCGGGCUGACGAUGCCAAGGCGGGUUUCAUCAAGAAGACUGCUCGGCGCAUCAAAAAGUUGCGAGAGCGUCUUCGGAUAGCUGAUCGGAUGGAAGAGCUCAAGACUCUUGCCAUAGAGGCCAAUGCUCGGCGCCAAAGGUAUAAUAUCGAUGAUUGGAAGCCUACCUCAAGCACUGUGGCCAUUGACCCUCGACUGUGUGCGGUCUACCAGGAGGCGGAUACUCUCGUGGGCAUCGAUGGGCCAAGGGAGGAGGUUGCCACUAUUUUGAUGGAUGCUCGAAAGAAACUCAAAGUGGUGUCGAUUGUGGGCUUCGGUGGUCUUGGUAAAACUACACUUGCCAAGCAGGUGUAUGACAAGAUUGGCUCGCUGUUCGACUGCAAAGCAUUCUUUUCAGUUUCGCAGAGGCCUGAUAUGACUGAGCUGCUCAACAAUUUCCAGUUGAAACUAGGGAUGAGGGAUCCCGAUACAUCUCGCACUCGCAAGGUUGACGACAUCAUUGAAGAGCUAAGGCAACAUCUGAAAGAGAAGAGGUACCUGAUUGUUGUCGAUGAUGUGUGGGAUCAACCAACAUGGAAUACCAUUAAGUGUGCGUUUCCUGAAGAUAUUAAUGGAAGUAGAGUAGUAGUUACAACACGAGUGGAAGACGUGGCUGCAGCAGCCUGUCAGAAUGACGGCGAGGGCAUCUACAAAAUGGAACCCCUCAGUGAUCAAAACUCAAGAAUGCUAUUGUUGAAUAGAGUAUUUGGGUCCAAACAUGAUUGUCCACCCCAUCUGAAAGAAGUUAUGGCUGAGAUUUUGAAGAAGUGUCAUGGAUUGCCACUUGCAGUUAUCACAAUAGCUAGCCUAUUAGCCAAUAAAGAAACGUCAAGGAAGAGCUGGGAGAGCAUAAGGGAUUCUUUGGGUACCCAGCUUGCCACAAAUCCCACCUUGGAAGAGAUGAAGAGUAUAUUAAACUUGAGCUACAUGCAUCUUCCUGCUCAUCUGCGGGCAUGCUUUUUGUACUUUGGUAUGUAUCCUGAGGACUGGGACAUCGAGAGGGACGAUCUGGUUCGGCAAUGGAUAGCUGAAGGCCUUGUGAGUAAUUUGCAUGGGCAUGACCUAGAGGAUGUUGGGAGGAGUUAUUUCAAUGAGCUAAUUAACAGAAGUGUGAUUCAGCCUGUUAUGGUAUACCGUGAAGAGGUGGUGUUAUGUAGAGUACAUGACAUGAUGCUUGAUUUGAUCCUAAGCAGGUGUGAUGAAGAUAACUUUAUAAGUGUGGCGUACAAUUAUAAUGACAUGGCAAGAUUGCAUGGCAAUAAAUACAAGGUUCGCCGGUUAUCUCUGAGUUCUGUGGCUGGUCGUGGAGCAGCAUAUGCCCCAACUAUUGAUGUCUGCCUAUCACAAAUUCGAUCAUUUACACUUUUCUGGGCCCCCCUGCCUUCUCUUUUGCUGUUCAAGUAUCUCCGGGUGUUGAGAAUUACAGAUUACAACCUAGAUGAGGAGACCACACUUGACCUCGCUCCUAUUGGUCAAUUGUUUCAGUUGAGGUAUUUGUAUGUUACAGUGUCAUGUUACGUACAACUCCCCUCUAAACUUCAAGGGCUUGUUUACUUGGAGACGUUGGACAUGCCUUCUGCACAACUCAAGAGCAUCCCCUCAGAUAUAGCCCAGUUGUCUCGCUUGUCCUAUCUUAAUAUUAGGAUGGAAAAAUUCAUGUCUGAAUGUAUUGGGAAUAUGAAAUCACUGCGCACUCUGGUAAUAGAUGGUGAAGAUUUGUCCAUGAAGGAAGUGAAUUCAGUAAAGGUUAUUAUGGGUCUCGGAGAGCUGACCAAUCUAAGGAACCUGAAGAUUAGAGUGAAUGGUUGGGAAAAGCCAGAACGUGAUGCUUUUGCCAGCUCCCUUGGAAAGCUCCGUAACCUCAAAUGUCUUCAUUUCAGUUCUGGCUAUACUGUAGAAGAUAACGAACUGGGCUCAUUAUCCAAUCCUUUUCCGCAACUCGAGGAAUUUAUCGGCGGCCGUUGGAAAUUCCAUAGAGUUCCCGUAUGGAUGGGUGGUCUAAAUUGCCUUCGCAACCUAGAGCUGUGGGUGAAGGAGGCGUCAACUCAGGAGGUUAAUCUUCUUGGAGAGCUCCCGUCCCUCGUUGCACUCUGGCUCGGGACGUCUCAUAUCCCAAAAGAAAGCGCUAUAUUGGGCACGGGACUGUUCCCGGUUCUGAAGAGCCUCACAUUUGGGGCACAGGAAGAUGUUGGGGCUUACCUAGGGUUCGAGGCGGGGGCCAUGCCCAACCUAAGAUUCCUCUGUAUCUCUACAUCCAGGGAACACGGCGUUGUACCAGUUGGCCUGGAGCACCUGUUACGCCUUGAGACAAUCUAUCUGCGUGGGGUCGACAUCGGUGAUGCCAUAGUGUCUGCGUUCAGGGAUGCUUUAUCAGCGCACCCAAACCACCCAUCUGUUGGCCCUUCAUUUUAG